Molecule: ribosomal RNA, 435 nt
Rfam family: Bacterial small subunit ribosomal RNA
ACGGAAGGCAGCAGUCGGGAAUAUUGCGCAAUGGAGGAAACUCUGACGCAGUGACGCCGCGUAUAGGAAGAAGGUUUUCGGAUUGUAAACUAUUGUCGUUAGGGAAGAAAAAAGACAGUACCUAAGGAGGAAGCUCCGGCUAACUAUGUGCCAGCAGCCGCGGUAAUACAUAGGGAGCAAGCGUUAUCCGGAAUUAUUGGGUGUAAAGGGUGCGUAGACGGAGGAGCAAGUUAGUUGUGAAAUCCCUCGGCUUAACUGAGGAACUGCAACUAAAACUACUUCCCUUGAGUGUCGGAGAGGAAAGCGGAAUUCCUAGUGUAGCGGUGAAAUGCGUAGAUAUUAGGAGGAACACCGGUGGCGAAGGCGGCUUUCUGGACGACAACUGACGUUGAGGCGCGAAAGUGUAGGGAGCAAACAGGAUUAGAUACCCUGGUA